Molecule: ribosomal RNA, 101 nt
Filed under: Paenibacillus apis
Lineage: Bacteria; Bacillati; Bacillota; Bacilli; Caryophanales; Paenibacillaceae
Also listed under: 1 other name
Description: Bacterial small subunit ribosomal RNA
Rfam family: Bacterial small subunit ribosomal RNA
Source: Rfam by way of RNAcentral
AGGUAACCGCAAGGAGCCAGCCGCCGAAGGUGGGGUAGAUGAUUGGGGUGAAGUCGUAACAAGGUAGCCGUAUCGGAAGGUGCGGCUGGAUCACCUCCUUU